GACGGAGGGUGCUAGCGUUGUUCGGAAUCACUGGGCGUAAAGGGCGCGUAGGCGGCUUGACAAGUCACUUGUGAAAUCUCCGGGCUUAACUCGGAACGGCCAAGUGAAACUGUCAUGCUAGAGUGCAGAAGGGGCAAUCGGAAUUCUUGGUGUAGCGGUGAAAUGCGUAGAUAUCAAGAGGAACACCUGAGGUGAAGACGGGUUGCUGGGCUGACACUGACGCUGAGGCGCGAAAAGUGUGGGGAGCGAACAGG
This 254-nucleotide ribosomal RNA is filed under the name uncultured bacterium. Its description in RNAcentral is "partial 16S ribosomal RNA". It matches the Rfam family "Bacterial small subunit ribosomal RNA", at positions 524 to 776 of the family's 1533-position model. The record is from RNAcentral.